This 1463-nucleotide ribosomal RNA is filed under the name Turicibacter sanguinis. RNAcentral describes it as "bacterial SSU rRNA". It matches the Rfam family "Bacterial small subunit ribosomal RNA". Lineage: Bacteria; Bacillati; Bacillota; Erysipelotrichia; Erysipelotrichales; Turicibacteraceae. The record is from RNAcentral.
CUUUUACAAUGAAGAGUUUGAUCCUGGCUCAGGAUGAACGCUAGCGACAGGCUUAACACAUGCAAGUCGAGGGGCAGCACAGGUAGCAAUACCGGGUGGCGACCGGCGCACGGGUGAGUAACGCGUAUGCAACUUACCUAUCAGAGGGGGAUAACCCGGCGAAAGUCGGACUAAUACCGCAUGAAGCAGGGGCCCCGCAUGGGGAUAUUUGCUAAAGAUUCAUCGCUGAUAGAUAGGCAUGCGUUCCAUUAGGCAGUUGGCGGGGUAACGGCCCACCAAACCGACGAUGGAUAGGGGUUCUGAGAGGAAGGUCCCCCACAUUGGUACUGAGACACGGACCAAACUCCUACGGGAGGCAGCAGUGAGGAAUAUUGGUCAAUGGGCGUAAGCCUGAACCAGCCAAGUCGCGUGAGGGAUGAAGGUUCUAUGGAUCGUAAACCUCUUUUAUAAGGGAAUAAAGUGCGGGACGUGUCCCGUUUUGUAUGUACCUUAUGAAUAAGGAUCGGCUAACUCCGUGCCAGCAGCCGCGGUAAUACGGAGGAUCCGAGCGUUAUCCGGAUUUAUUGGGUUUAAAGGGAGCGUAGGCGGACGCUUAAGUCAGUUGUGAAAGUUUGCGGCUCAACCGUAAAAUUGCAGUUGAUACUGGGUGUCUUGAGUACAGUAGAGGCAGGCGGAAUUCGUGGUGUAGCGGUGAAAUGCUUAGAUAUCACGAAGAACUCCGAUUGCGAAGGCAGCUUGCUGGACUGUAACUGACGCUGAUGCUCGAAAGUGUGGGUAUCAAACAGGAUUAGAUACCCUGGUAGUCCACACAGUAAACGAUGAAUACUCGCUGUUUGCGAUAUACAGUAAGCGGCCAAGCGAAAGCGUUAAGUAUUCCACCUGGGGAGUACGCCGGCAACGGUGAAACUCAAAGGAAUUGACGGGGGCCCGCACAAGCGGAGGAACAUGUGGUUUAAUUCGAUGAUACGCGAGGAACCUUACCCGGGUUUGAAUUGCAACUGAAUGAUGUGGAGACAUGUCAGCCGCAAGGCAGUUGUGAAGGUGCUGCAUGGUUGUCGUCAGCUCGUGCCGUGAGGUGUCGGCUUAAGUGCCAUAACGAGCGCAACCCUUGCCACUAGUUACUAACAGGUAAAGCUGAGGACUCUGGUGGGACUGCCAGCGUAAGCUGCGAGGAAGGCGGGGAUGACGUCAAAUCAGCACGGCCCUUACAUCCGGGGCGACACACGUGUUACAAUGGCGUGGACAAAGGGAAGCCACCUGGCGACAGGGAGCGAAUCCCCAAACCACGUCUCAGUUCGGAUCGGAGUCUGCAACCCGACUCCAUGAAGCUGGAUUCGCUAGUAAUCGCGCAUCAGCCAUGGCGCGGUGAAUACGUUCCCGGGCCUUGUACACACCGCCCGUCAAGCCAUGGGAGCCGGGGGUACCUGAAGUCCGUAACCGCGAGGAUCGGCCUAGGGUAAAAC